GGUCAAGUUAUUAAGGGUGCAGGGCGGAUGCCUUGGCACUAGGAGCCGAUGAAGGACGUGAUAAGCUGCGAUAAGCUUCGGGGAGUUGCACGUAAACUUUGAUCCGAAGAUUUCCGAAUGAGGAAACUCACUUAGAGUAAUGUCUAAGUAUCAUUAAGUGAAUACAUAGCUUAAUGAGGGGAACUCAGGGAACUGAAACAUCUAAGUACCUGAAGGAAGAGAAAGAAAUUCGAUUCCGUAAGUAGCGGCGAGCGAACGCGGAUUAGCCCAAACCAAUAAAGUUUUCUUUAUUGGGGUUGCGGACAUAUCAUAACGAAGAGGUAUCGUAAUUGAAGAGGUUUGGAAAGACCCACCACAGAAGGUAAUAGUCCUGUAUGUUAAACGAGAAGACUUCAGAUAUGAUCCAGAGUACCACGGGACACGUGAAACCCUGUGGGAAGCAGGAGGGACCACCCUCCAAGGCUAAAUACUACCUAGUGACCGAUAGCGUAUAGUACCGUGAGGGAAAGGUGAAAAGAACCCCGGGAGGGGAGUGAAAUAGAACCUGAAACCCUGCACUUACAAGCUGUGGAAGCACAUUUCUUGUGUGACCGCGUACUUUUUGUAGAACGGGCCAACGAGUUACGUUAAGUAGCAAGGUUAAGCACUUAAGGUGUGGAGCCGUAGCGAAAGCGAGUUUUAACUGAGCGUUCAGUUACUUGACGUAGACCCGAAACCGGGCGACCUACCCAUGAGCAGGAUGAAGCGAAAGUAAAAUUUCGUGGAGGUCCGAACCCACGAGCGUUGAAAAGCUCGGGGAUGACUUGUGGGUAGCGGUGAAAUUCCAAUCGAGCCCGGAGAUAGCUGGUUCUCCCCGAAAUAGCUUUAGGGCUAGCCUCAAGGUGAGAGAUACGGAGGUAGAGCACUGAAUGUCCUAGGGGGUAUUGCACCUACCGAAGACUAUCAAACUCCGAAUGCCGUCAUCUUAUACUUGGGAGUCAGACUGUGGGUGAUAAGAUUCAUAGUCGAAAGGGCAACAGCCCAGAUCGUCAGCUAAGGUCCCUAAAUGUAAGUUAAGUGGUAAAGGAUGUGGGAUUGCACAGACAACCAGGAUGUUGGCUUAGAAGCAGCCACUCAUUCAAAGAGUGCGUAAUAGCUCACUGGUCGAGUGAUCCUGCGCCGAAGAUUUCCGGGGCUAAAACUUACUACCGAAGCUACGGCAUCAGUAAUGAUGGGUAGGGGAGCUUCCCAUACGGGUUGAAGCAUGACCGUAAGGACAUGUGGACAGUAUGGGAGUGAGAAUGUUGGCAUGAGUAGCGAGAUGUGGGUGAGAAUCCCACAGGCCGUAAACCCAAGGUUUCCAGGGGAAGGUUCGUCCGCCCUGGGUUAGUCGGGACCUAAGCUGAGGCCGAAAGGCGUAGGUGAUGGACAACAGGUUGAUAUUCCUGUACUACCGAUAACCGUUUGAGAGAAGGGAUGACACAGUAGGAUAAGCUAAGCACACUGUUGGUUAUGUGUGCCCAAGCAUUGAGGCAGUCAAAGUAGGCAAAUCCGCUUUGAUAAUGCUGGGAUGUGAUGGGGAGCGAAAUUUAGUAGCGAAGUAGCUGAUUUCACACUGUCAAGAAAAGUCUCUAUCGAGGUUAAAGGUACCCGUACCGCAAACCGACACAGGUGGGUGAGGAGAGUAUCCUAAGGCCAGCGAGAGAACUGUUGUUAAGGAACUCGGCAAAAUGACCCCGUAACUUAGGGAUAAGGGGUGCCACCAUCAGGUGGCCGCAGAGAAUAGGCCCAAGCGACUGUUUACCAAAAACAUAGGUUUCUGCUAAGUCGCAAGACGAUGUAUAGGAGCUGACGCCUGCCCGGUGCUGGAAGGUUAAGGGGAUCUGUUAGAGCAAUCGAAGCAGUGAACUUAAGCCCCAGUAAACGGCGGCCGUAACUAUAACGGUCCUAAGGUAGCGAAAUUCCUUGUCGGGUAAGUUCCGACCCGCACGAAAGGCGUAACGAUUUGGGCACUGUCUCAACAACAGACUCGGUGAAAUUGUAAUUCCGGUGAAGAUGCCGGAUACCUGCGACAGGACGGAAAGACCCCAUGGAGCUUUACUGUAGCUUGACAUUGGGUCUUGGUACUACAUGUACAGGAUAGGUGGGAGGCUUUGAAACCAGGACGCCAGUUUUGGCGGAGCCAUCCUUGGGAUACCACCCUUGUAGUACUGGGACUCUAACCAUAGGCCAUGAAUCUGGUCUUGGGACACUGUCAGGUGGGCAGUUUGACUGGGGCGGUCGCCUCCCAAAAGGUAACGGAGGCGCUCAAAGGUUCUCUCAGUACGGUCGGAAAUCGUACGUAGAGUGUAAAGGCAAAAGAGAGCUUGAUUGCAAGACAUACAGGUCGAGCAAGGAUGAAAAUCGGACUUAGUGAUCCGGUGGUUCUGCGUGGAAGGGCCAUCGCUCAACGGAUAAAAGCUACCCUGGGGAUAACAGGCUUAUCUCCCCCAAGAGUCCACAUCGACGGGGAGGUUUGGCACCUCGAUGUCGGCUCAUCACAUCCUGGGGCUGUAGUAGGUCCCAAGGGUUGGGCUGUUCGCCCAUUAAAGUGGUACGCGAGCUGGGUUCAGAACGUCGUGAGACAGUUCGGUCCCUAUCCGUCGCAGGCGUAGGAAAUUUGAGAAGACCUGUCCUUAGUACGAGAGGACCGGGAUGGACGUACCUCUGGUGUACCAGUUGUUCUGCCAAGGGCAUGGCUGGGUAGCUAUGUACGGAAUGGAUAAGCGCUGAAAGCAUCUAAGCGCGAAGCCAACUUCAAGAUAAGAUUUCCCACCGCAAGGGUAAGACCCCAGAAAGACUAUCUGGUUGAUAGGUCGAAGGUGUAAGUGCAGCAAUGUAUUUAGCUUAUCGAUACUAAUAGGUCGAGGACUUGACCAA
Molecule: ribosomal RNA, 2898 nt
Filed under: Clostridioides difficile
Lineage: Bacteria; Bacillati; Bacillota; Clostridia; Peptostreptococcales; Peptostreptococcaceae
Description: 23S ribosomal RNA
Rfam family: Bacterial large subunit ribosomal RNA
Source: RNAcentral